UACGGAGGGUGCAAGCGUUAAUCGGAAUUACUGGGCGUAAACGCGCGUAGGUGGUUGUAAGAGAGAUGUGAAAGCCCCCGGGGCUUAAACCUGGGGAACGGCAUUUCGAACUGUCAGGCUAGAGUAUGGUAGAGGAGUGUGGAAUUUCCUGUGUAGCGGUGAAAUGCGUAGAUAUAGGAAGGAACACCAGUGGCGAAGGCGGCACUCUGGACCAAUACUGACACUGAGGUGCGAAAGCGUGGGGAGCAAACAGGAUUAGAUACCCCGGUAGUCC
This 274-nucleotide ribosomal RNA is filed under the name uncultured bacterium. RNAcentral describes it as "partial 16S ribosomal RNA". It matches the Rfam family "Bacterial small subunit ribosomal RNA", at positions 524 to 796 of the family's 1533-position model. The record is from RNAcentral.